RNAcentral lists this unclassified non-coding RNA (324 nucleotides) under Hevea brasiliensis (rubber tree). Lineage: Eukaryota; Viridiplantae; Streptophyta; Magnoliopsida; Malpighiales; Euphorbiaceae. The record is from RNAcentral.
CAAAGCCCCUAAGCACGUUAAUGUCAGACGGGCAAUGAACCUCUGUUAUCUGCGUUCCCUCCAAAAACCACUUCACCAAUACCAUUGCCAACUUUUUAAACCCUUCAUUCCCAAAACCCCAUACCUGCGCUUCAAUAAAGUUAUCAAAUUUUUUAAUCCUGAUCUCUGCGGAAUUUAGCCAACACCCAGAGGUCAUUAGUUUCUCAAGCACAACCCAAAAGUUCAAUUUUUAUUUCUCACUCACAUUAAUACCCUACUCUAAGCUCCUCUCUCAAUGCACUGCUUCGAAAUCUCUAACUCCAGGCAUGGAAAUUCAUGCCCAUG